This 937-nucleotide ribosomal RNA is filed under the name uncultured organism. RNAcentral describes it as "bacterial SSU rRNA". It matches the Rfam family "Bacterial small subunit ribosomal RNA", at positions 462 to 1414 of the family's 1533-position model. The record is from RNAcentral.
AUGCGGUAUGACGGUACCCUUUCGAAUAAGAGGUUGCUAACUCUGUGCCAGCAGCAGCGGUAAUACAGAGACCUCGAGCGUUAUCCGGAUUUACUGGGCGUAAAGCGUCUGUAGGGGGUUUGUUAAGUUCCAAGUAAAAUCUUAAGGCUCAACUUUAAGUUCGCUUGGAAAACUAAUAAACUGGAGUCCAGCAGAGGUGCAUGGAACUUGCGGUGUAGGAGUGAAAUCCGUUGAUAUCGCAAGGAACACCAAAGGCGAAGGCAUUGCACUGGGCUGGUACUGACCCUGAGAGACGAAAGCGUGGGGAGCAAAACGGAUUAGAUACCCGUGUAGUCCACGCCGUAAACGAUGGAUACUAGAUGUUCGGGGAUUCGACCCCCUGGGUGUCACAGCUAACGCGUUAAGUAUCCCGCCUGGGAAGUACGGCCGCAAGGCUAAAACUCAAAGGAAUAGACGGGGAUCCGCACAAGCGGUGGAGCGUCUGGUUUAAUUUGAUAGUAAGCAAUGGACCUCACCAAGGUUUGACAUCCUAUGACAACCCUGGAAACAGGGCUUCCUUCGGGCAUAGUGACAGGUGCUGCAUGGUCGUCGUCAGUUCGUGCCGUGGGGUGUUCCGUUAAGUCGGGAAACGAACGAAACCCUCGUCGCAUGUUACAAAUUUCAUGCGAGACUGCCCGGGUCAACCGGGAGGAAGGCGGGGAUGACGUCAGAUCAGCAUGGCCCUUAUACCUUGGGCUACACAGGCGCUACAAUGGCCGGUACAAAGGGUUGCAAAACCGCGAGGUGAAGCUAAUCCCAUAAAGCCGGUCCAAGUUCGGAUUGGAGGCUGCAACUCGCCUCCAUGAAGUUGGAAUCGCUAGUAAUCGUGGAUCAGCCAUACCACGGUGAAUACGUUCCCGGAUCUUGUACUCACCGCCCGUCACACCAAGAGAGUUGG